AGACUGGGGAGGGUGAAAUGCA
Molecule: microRNA, 22 nt
Filed under: Magallana gigas (Pacific oyster)
Lineage: Eukaryota; Metazoa; Mollusca; Bivalvia; Ostreida; Ostreidae
Description: Mgi-Mir-92-o32_5p* (star (passenger))
Source: RNAcentral